This is a long non-coding RNA of Oncorhynchus tshawytscha (Chinook salmon), 1822 nucleotides long. NCBI's taxonomy places the organism in Eukaryota, Metazoa, Chordata, Actinopteri, Salmoniformes, Salmonidae. The record is from Ensembl.
CUCCAGUCCAGACCGGCUCAGUGGGCCCCUAUAACACUGGUCCCAACCCUCACCACCAAGAACCUGUCUUUAACUCUGGCUCUGUUUCUGAUUUGUUUGUGUAGUGGUGACUUUGUGUCAUGACGUUCCCCUGCGUAAUUUGCUAUUUUUAUUUAAUUUGGCAAAUUUCAAGAAUGGCAAAAAUAUAGUAUUUUGUCAAUUGUAUCCUUUUUCUACACCAAGUUUGUUUUUUAAAUGUUGUAAAAGUCUCAGCAUUUGUUAAGGCGCAAGUACCACCCGCCUGCUAGCUGCAACUUGAGGGUUUUUCUGUGUGAUUUGUGAAACAUUUAAAAGCAGUGCUUUGGUUUUGUUGAAGAGAGAAACGUUGGUUGCAAUUUAAAAGUGAGGCACACCUUCCGUCUGGAAUGAUGUUGAGCUGCUUGCAAUCAUACCAAUGCCCCUGCUCAUGCACUUCCCAGCCCCCCCCCAAACAACACUUUGAAACAGGAACUAUCACACGUCUUACCUCUGUGUUAUCCUUCUACCUUUCACACCACUGGCAGUUGAAACGGUUCAACAUGGAGUCUGUGACACGUCCGGCGAAGGAGCCUCCAUCUCUCCCGCUCCAAUCUGACAGUCAGAACACCACCUAUUACAUUCUGUAGUUUUGGGAGGCGUGACAGGAAAGCAGCAGGGUUCCUGUGCUACAGUAACCAUUUGUUUUGGUCUGGCAGAAUGCUGCCAUCCUGUUUAGUACAUUGGGACUGUAGAAGUAUGAUAGCUCAAAUACAUAUUGUUUCUUUCCGUGGACAUUCGACUAACAAACAUGAAAGUGUGCAAACGUAGAACACUGUAAAAUGUUGAGAUGAAAUGGCACAAUCCGAAAACUAAAUAAGGCGUUUUUAAAAACCUUAAACUUAAUAUUAAUGUAAUGUUCAGUCGUACUUAAUAAAGUGUAGUGUGAUUUUCUACAUUUGCUUGUAUCACAGAUGUUAGUUGUAUACUUGAAAGUAAUUGAAACGAAUGAGAAUCUCAACCUCACAGUCUAAUUAUGGAUUAUUUAUUACUCUUAUGUUUUAUUAUGAAUCAAUCUGUGAAAGAUGGAAUGGCUUUUUCAGCCUCUCUAAUCAUUAGCUCAAUCUUUACAACACAUCAGGCCUAUAUUGGGAGUAGUAUAAAAACUAUAGCCAAAAAAGUAUAGUGUAUAUAUUUUAGUAUUUGAAUUCUGUAAUGAAAAUCACUCCGUAUAAUACAAGGAUACUUUGCCUAAAUUAUUUCAUUACAAAAUGCUAGUGAGGAGGUUUUGCUCAUGAACGUCAAACCCCCCCAGACUGGGAGAUAGUGUCUUGCUACAGUCAGAUAUAUCUGGACUAGGGGUUGUAGGGAGUCUUGCUACAGUCAGAUAUAUCUGGACUAGGGGUUGUAGGGUGUCUUGCUACAGUCAGAUAUAUCUGGACUAGGGGUUGUAGGGAGUCUUGCUACAGUCAGAUAUAUCUGGACUAGGGUUUGUAGGGUGUCUUGCUACAGUCAGAUAUAUCUGGACUAGGGGUUGUAGAGUGUCUUGCUACAGUCAGAUAUAUCUGGACUAGGGGUUGUAGGGAGUCUUGCUACAGUCAGAUAUAUCUGGACUAGGGGUUGUAGGGAGUCUUGCUACAGUCAGAUAUAUCUGGACUAGGGGUUGUAGGGUGUCUUGCUACAGUCAGAUAUAUCUGGACUAGGGGUUGUAGGGAGUCUUGCUACAGUCAGAUAUAUCUGGACUAGGGGUUGUAGGGUGUCUUGCUACAGUCAGAUAUAUCUGGACUAGGGGUUGUAGAGUGUCUUGCUACAGUCAGAUAUAUCUGGA